AGCAGCCGCGGUAAUUCCAGCUCCAAUAGCGUAUAUUAAAGUUGUUGCAGUUAAAAAGCUCGUAGUUGAACUUCGGGGUUUACCCAUUGGUCAGGCUUAAUUGUCUGUACUGGUGAGAUAAAUCUCUACCUUCUGAGGAACUUUCAUGUCAUUAAUUUGGUGUGAUUGGAAAUCAGGACUGUUACUUUGAAAAAAUUAGAGUGUUUAAAGCAGGCUAACGUCUGAAUACAUUAGCAUGGAAUAAUGAAAUAGGACGGACUGAUUCUAUUUCGUUGGUUUCUAGGAUCACCGUAAUGAUUAAUAGGGAUAGUUGGGGGCAUUAGUAUUCAAUUGUCAGAGGUGAAAUUCUUGGAUUUAUUGAAGACUAACUACUGCGAAAGCAUUUGCCAAGGAUGUUUUCAUUAAUCAAGAACGAAAGUUAGGGGAUCGAAGACGAUCAGAUACCGUCGUAGUCUUAACCAUAAACUAUGCCGACUAGGGAUCGGACGAAGUUAAUUUUUAAUGACGCGUUCGGCACCUU
RNAcentral lists this ribosomal RNA (520 nucleotides) under uncultured Diversispora. RNAcentral describes it as "SSU rRNA". It matches the Rfam family "Eukaryotic small subunit ribosomal RNA", at positions 569 to 1089 of the family's 1831-position model. Lineage: Eukaryota; Fungi; Glomeromycota; Glomeromycetes; Diversisporales; Diversisporaceae. The record is from RNAcentral.